AUUGAACGCUGGCGGCAGGCCUAACACAUGCAAGUCGAGCGGAUGAAGGGAGCUUGCUCCUGGAUUCAGCGGCGGACGGGUGAGUAAUGCCCAGGAAUCUGCCUGGUAGUGGGGGAUAACGUCCGGAAACGGGCGCUAAUACCGCAUACGUCCUGAGGGAGAAAGUGGGGGAUCUUCGGACCUCACGCUAUCAGAUGAGCCUAGGUCGGAUUAGCUAGUUGGUGGGGUAAAGGCCUACCAAGGCGACGAUCCGUAACUGGUCUGAGAGGAUGAUCAGUCACACUGGAACUGAGACACGGUCCAGACUCCUACGGGAGGCAGCAGUGGGGAAUAUUGGACGAUGGGCGAAAGCCUGAUCCAGCCAUGCCGCGUGUGUGAAGAAGGUCUUCGGAUUGUAAAGCACUUUAAGUUGGGAGGAAGGGCAGUAAGUUAAUACCUUGCUGUUUUGACGUUACCAACAGAAUAAGCACCGGCUAACUUCGUG
RNAcentral lists this ribosomal RNA (484 nucleotides) under uncultured bacterium. RNAcentral's name for it is "partial 16S ribosomal RNA". It matches the Rfam family "Bacterial small subunit ribosomal RNA", at positions 30 to 507 of the family's 1533-position model. The record is from RNAcentral.